This 308-nucleotide ribosomal RNA is filed under the name uncultured bacterium. RNAcentral describes it as "partial 16S ribosomal RNA". It matches the Rfam family "Bacterial small subunit ribosomal RNA", at positions 505 to 807 of the family's 1533-position model. The record is from RNAcentral.
GAGACAGCAGUAGCCGCGGGAAUACAGAGGGUGCAAGCGUUAAUCGGAAUUACUGGGCGUAAAGCGCGCGUAGGUGGUUUGUUAAGUUGGAUGUGAAAUCCCCGGGCUCAACCUGGGAACUGCAUCCAAAACUGGCAAGCUAGAGUAUGGUAGAGGGUGGUGGAAUUUCCUGUGUAGCGGUGAAAUGCGUAGAUAUAGGAAGGAACACCAGUGGCGAAAGCGGCUCACUGGACCAUAACUGACGCUGAUGCACGAAAGCUAGGGGAGCAAACAGGAUUAGAUACCCGCGUAGUCCCUGUCUCUUAUAC